This 253-nucleotide ribosomal RNA is filed under the name uncultured bacterium. RNAcentral's name for it is "partial 16S ribosomal RNA". It matches the Rfam family "Bacterial small subunit ribosomal RNA", at positions 524 to 776 of the family's 1533-position model. The record is from RNAcentral.
UACGUAGGGUGCAGGCGUUAAUCGGAAUUACUGGGCGUAAAGCGUGCGCAGGCGGUUUCUUAAGUCAGAUGUGAAAGCCCCGGGCUUAACCUGGGAACUGCGUUUGAAACUGGGAGACUUGAGUGUGGCAGAGGGGGGUGGAAUUCCACGUGUAGCAGUGAAAUGCGUAGAGAUGUGGAGGAACACCGAUGGCGAAGGCAGCCUCCUGGGCCAACACUGACGCUCAUGCACGAAAGCGUGGGGAGCAAACAGG